Procambarus clarkii (red swamp crayfish) is the source of this 474-nucleotide long non-coding RNA. RefSeq lists it as uncharacterized. NCBI's taxonomy places the organism in Eukaryota, Metazoa, Arthropoda, Malacostraca, Decapoda, Cambaridae. The record is from RefSeq and is a predicted model, not a curated record.
GACAGCGGCCGCUGAUAAUGUAAACACAGCUGAUUCACUGGCGACACGGAGCUGGCGGUAUUAGGACGGAGUUUCCCUCGGUAUUGGCAAGCUUUUGCUGAGAAUACUGCCAGCUGACGUCACCAUAAACAGGUGUCCAGUGGUGCGGUUCAUCGCCAGAGAAGACAAUGUCUGGGUCAGUAUUAGACGGGAUUGGAAGCUUGGAAGAAAUGCUGUUCCGAGCUGCUGGAGAGAUGCCAGAUAAUGGCCAGGCAUCAGAGGGCUGCGAAGGGAAGGGGGACCAUGAAGCAGCAGCAUUAGUACUGCAGGAGCGGAGUCAACCCAUUCAAAUUUAUGCAAUUGAUAUGGACAUCAGCGAGACGAUGGGAACCCUUAAGUCACGAGCGGCUGAAGCUUUACAUCUUGACCUACAGAGUUUUGUUGUGUCUGUUUUAUCCGAAAGAGAGGUACGUGCAGUGUGUAUUGUGCAUUUUU